Molecule: unclassified non-coding RNA, 352 nt
Filed under: soil metagenome
Description: partial contains 5.8S ribosomal RNA, internal transcribed spacer 2, and large subunit ribosomal RNA
Rfam family: 5.8S ribosomal RNA (bases 1-120)
Source: RNAcentral
GAUGAAGAACGUAGCGAAAUGCGAUAAGUAAUGUGAAUUGCAGAAUUCAGUGAAUCAUCGAAUCUUUGAACGCACAUUGCGCCCGCCAGUAUUCUGGCGGGCAUGCCUGUUCGAGCGUCAUUACAACCCUCAGGCCCCCGGGCCUGGCGUUGGGGAUCGGCAGAAGCCCCCUGUGGGCACACGCCGUCCCUCAAAUACAGUGGCGGUCCCGCCGCAGCUUCCAUUGCGUAGUAGCUAACACCUCGCAACUGGAGAGCGGCGCGGCCAUGCCGUAAAACACCCAACUUCUGAAUGUUGACCUCGAAUCAGGUAGGAAUACCCGCUGAACUUAAGCAUAUCAAUAAGUGGAGGA